RNAcentral lists this long non-coding RNA (203 nucleotides) under Elaeis guineensis (African oil palm). RNAcentral describes it as "long non-coding RNA (EGUI_LNC061441)". Lineage: Eukaryota; Viridiplantae; Streptophyta; Magnoliopsida; Arecales; Arecaceae. The record is from RNAcentral.
CUUGGCCAACCAGCACCUAGUAUGGUGCUGGUUGUGGGCCAUCCCACAUGGGUGUGUGUGUGGGUGCAAAGUAGGCACCAUGUUAGGUGCUAAUCCUUUCUCAUGUAGGAAUCUUUCUUUGAUAAGUUGUGGACUGAUUCAAAGCUUAUUUGAAUUAAAAGUUCUAUAGUUAUUGGUUCAUAAGAAUCAUCUAUAAAUAGAGA